GGCAUUUGUUUGUAAAUGUUUGGUAGCUCUCUGGAAAUAUUCACAAAAAACUAGUAAGAGUGGUUCCUUCCCCAGGGAGGAAAAGGGGAAAUACAUAAAUAAAUUUAAUCCAUAAACAAGAAAUAAAUCACACUUUUGAAGGCAUGACCUUUCCCCAGCGUGGCUUCUUUCAGAGUCUUCUUCCAACGUGACCUUAGCUCUCAGAGUUCCCUAAGGGUAGAAGUGCACGGGGGAUAAAGAUAUUAAGUGACAAAACCAGCAGGGGUGGCGGGAGGAGGUGAAGCGGCAGGAAGCGACGUGGGGCAAGAGCGUUCCUGGCGAGGGUGGAGGGCAGCGCCAGGACAGAGCCGUCCAGAGCCCCGUGCAAGAAGCAGGCUGGUGUGCAGGAAGGAUGAGAAGGCAGAUGUGGCCGGAAGAGAGUGUGCUGGUUGGUUAGGCAGACAAGGUAAAGGCUGGUCUGUACUCAGUUUUCACUCCGAGAUGCUGAGACCUUGGUAGGUUCUCCCUACAGAACCCCUGGGAGCUGCCCACAGGAUCCGAAGGGUGGGUCGUUUUUAAAUUCUGGGCAUUUAGCCUUUUUUCCAGCUGUCCUGAGGGCAACCUAUUGACAUCAGCAAAUCCUACACUCCCUCUAGCUAAUCUUUUUCUCCUGUUCUCUUUUCUCCUUUUUUUCCCCUGACUUUCCCUCCCUGUGAGAGUCCCUGGUCCCAAGGCCUGGCCCACAAUUCAAAGACUACCAAGUAAAUAGUGUAUGAAAUCCUUUAAUCUCCCUCCGAGCUACCCUGGUCUCGGCUACACCGACAAAUCAAGAUAAGCAUAAUCUUCAGCUUGGCCGACACUAGGCAGCCAUUGAACAGCCAGCCCCACACUCCACGCCUGUGACUGGGGUGGGGUCUAUACCUCAAACAAACCAGAUUUAUUUUUAUGUCUAUGGAGGUUCCUAGGCUAGGGAAAAGGCAAGAAAAAAAAAAAAAAAAAAAAAAAACUGAAAGAAAAACAAAAGACACAUGUACCCCAAUGUUCACUGUAGCGCUAUUUUCAACAGCCAAGACAUGGAAGCAACCUAAAUGUCCAUCAACAGAGGAGUGGCUAAAGAGGAUAUGGUAAUAUAUAUACAAUGAAAUAUUACUCAGCCAUAAAAAGGAAUGAAAUAAUGGCAUUUGCAGCAACAUGGAUGAACCUAGAAAUUAUCAUGCUAAGUAAAGUUAGUCGGACAGAGAGACACAAACAUCAUAUGAUGUCACUUCUACGU
This 1252-nucleotide long non-coding RNA is filed under the name Sus scrofa (pig). RNAcentral describes it as "lncRNA (ENSSSCG00005007422.1)". Lineage: Eukaryota; Metazoa; Chordata; Mammalia; Artiodactyla; Suidae. The record is from RNAcentral.